Hyla sarda is the source of this 528-nucleotide long non-coding RNA. RefSeq lists it as uncharacterized. NCBI's taxonomy places the organism in Eukaryota, Metazoa, Chordata, Amphibia, Anura, Hylidae. The transcript is spliced from 3 exons. The record is from RefSeq and is a predicted model, not a curated record.
UCAGAGAGGAAGUUCAGCAGCUCCCUGUUCUGAUGACUUGCGACCCCCCAUUGAGCUGCAUUAUGCUGGGGGCCGUGAUGUCACAAUUUCCCAUAGUUCUGCAGCUUAGCCAGCUCUGUGCACGGCAAGGGAACCUCCCAUGUGCAGCUUCAGCCAAUCAUAGAAGCCCCAGUGAGCUGAGCUCACGUGUCUUCAUCUCCUCGGCAGGGAAGCAUCUGACAGCCAGCUCAGUGUUUAUAACAGCAAGAACGAUGUCCCAAUGUCCCGAGAAGAAGCAGAGGGGGAGGGGGAGAUCCCUGAUUACAAUCUGACAGCAGCAGACGACAGACAAGGUAAAAGUACAACAAGAGGAAAGCACACCCCUGAUGUACAAUAAUCCUGCAAUACUGAAUACAAGCAGCAUAUGUGUCGCUAGAGCAGUGAAUACAAAGAACAGUAUGACUACCUGUAGGAGCUCCUCAUAUGUGAUAAAGAAGAAUCUGCUGUCAUCUUUCAUUUGCAUCCAGCCUUUCACAUGAUCAAACCAAG